GUCUUAUACCAUCGAUAAAAAAAUUCCCUAUUUUCUUUCCUUUGUUUUCCUUUCUCCCCCCUUACCUCAGUAAAGGGGUAAAGAACAGGGUUUUGGAGCCCUUCCAGAUUUUAUAAAUUCGCAGUUUCCAAAAUUCUUACUCCCUUUGUUCCAACGGUAAUUGCUGGACGCUAUCCCUUCUGUUAACCGCCGCCGUUGUCCACAAUGUCAGAUCGUGGCAAGCAACGCCUGAGGGACCGCGACAGAGACCGAGAACGCGAGAGUGAUCGCGACCGCGACAGAGAACGCCGACGCGACAGAGAUGACCACGAACGAGACCGUGAGCGAGACAGAGACAGAGAGCGGGCACGCAGCAAGAGAUCCCGUACACCGGACCGCACCCGGUCUCGUCACACGCGCUCUCGCACGCGUUCCCCCGAGCGCGAACGUUACCUUUCACGCUCCCCUGCUCAUACGCGGUCCCCGGAACGCUCAUCCCAGCGCCAUCACCGGAAUCGGCACCGAAUACCAUCAGCGGAGCCGCCUAGGAAACGGCACCGCCAUGGAAGCGAGGAGAGGGAGAAGGAGAAAGAUAGGCAAAAGGCGGUGUCGGAUUUUGUGGAUGAGAUAGCGAAAGAGCAGCAGCAAAAGAAAGAGAAUGAUAAUAAUGGGAAUGAGAAUGGAGAUGGAGGAGAGGACGAUGAGAUGGACAUGAUGAAGAAGUUAGGGAUUCCAGUUGGUUUUGAUUCCACGAAAGGAAAACAUGUGCCAGGGGCUGAUGUUAGUGGAGUUAGGGCUGUGACUAAGCGGCAGCCCAGGCAGUAUAUGAAUCGAAGAGGCGGUUUUAAUCGUCCAUUGCCCGCUGAGCGCAAUCGCUAGAAUUCAUUUAGUGAUUGAAAGCAUUUUCAAGGUUAUUCAUCUUCCUAGCACUGGGGUUGGUGAUCCAUUUUGAGUGCUAGCAUGAAAAGCAAGGCGUAUGUUUAAUGAUAUUUGAUGCCAGAAAGACAUCAAACGACAUUCAUCUUUGAAGAUGUUAAAGCUUGGUGAGUUAGUUACAGGGUUCAACACUGACAAUAUUUGUGCUUGACUUCCUUAAUGCGCUAUGCGAAGAUUGCUAGUGGUUUCUUAGCCAAAUUGAAGCAGGGGUGACAUCUAUGUGUGAGACUUUGAACCCUUUGCGUUGUGCUUUUAGUCACUCAUUUCUCAAAAGGUUUGAUACUUGUAUUAAUAUGUAGCAUCUUAUAGUGCCAAGUGACCGCAACUGCUGGAUUUGGAUGCGGUAACUGUGAGUGUUGCAUUUCUUAGUUGAAUGCCCAGAACCAUUUUUCUGCA
Durio zibethinus is the source of this 1311-nucleotide non-coding RNA. Lineage: Eukaryota; Viridiplantae; Streptophyta; Magnoliopsida; Malvales; Malvaceae. The record is from RefSeq and is a predicted model, not a curated record.